Molecule: long non-coding RNA, 771 nt
Filed under: Manihot esculenta (cassava)
Lineage: Eukaryota; Viridiplantae; Streptophyta; Magnoliopsida; Malpighiales; Euphorbiaceae
Description: long non-coding RNA (MESC_LNC000859)
Source: RNAcentral
AUCUUUCAAUUAAUGUAAAAAAUUUGAACAUGUCUAAUGGGGAAAGAGUGGACAGGAACUGUAUGAAGUGGGAGCAAGGAGAAUUGGAGUGCUGAGUUUACCGCCAAUAGGGUGUGUGCCAUCACAGAGAACUCUAGGCGGAGGCAUAGAUAGACAGUGUUCGAAGUCCGCCAAUGAAGCAGCAAGCCUCUUCAAUUCCAAGCUCUCCUCAGCAAUUCAUGCCCUCAAUAAACAGCUUCCAAAUUCAACGCUUGUGUACCUUGACACCUACAAUCCCCUGCUCUCUCUAAUCCAAAACCCUGCUCAAUAUGGUAAUUUAUCACCAAUCACACUAUUUUUUUCUAGUAAAAAAAAACAAAACAUUAUACAUGUGAUUUAAGCAUAUCAGCUGGAUGAUAAUGGCAAUUUGGGUGUGCAAAACAGGGUUUGAAGUGGCAAAUAAAGGAUGCUGUGGCACAGGAAACAUAGAGGUGAGCAUACUGUGUAAUGGAUUGGAUGAUCCACAUACGUGUAAAGAUGCCUCCAAGUACAUAUUCUGGGAUAGUUAUCAUCCCUCCGAGAGAGCUUACAAAAUCCUUACCUCUCAGAUCCUCAACAAGGAUCUGGACAAAUUGUUCUGACCAUAUAAGUUUACGCUCUUUAUUUAUAUUUAUGGACCAAUAAAGUUGUCUAAAUUGUCGACACCAAACUAGGCCAUGCAGCUCCUCAAUGUUAAUUGUAUGCUUUUCAUGUUGCCAUUUAAUAAGUAGCGACAACUCAAAAAUCUCUUAU